UACGUAGGUGGCAAGCGUUGUCCGGAAUUAUUGGGCGUAAAACGCGCGCAGGCGGGUCCUUAAGUCUGUUGUGAAAGGCCAAAGAUCAACUGUGGAGGGCCAUUGGAAACCGGGGCACUUGAGGACAGAAGAGGAGAGCGGAAUUCCACGUGUAGCGGUGAAAUGCGUAGAUAUGUGGAGGAACACCAGUGGCGAAGGCGGCUCUCUGGUCUGUAACUGACGCUGAGGCGCGAAAGCAUGGGUAGCGAACAGG
This 253-nucleotide unclassified non-coding RNA is filed under the name uncultured Bacillaceae bacterium. Its description in RNAcentral is "contains 16S-23S intergenic spacer region". It matches the Rfam family "Bacterial small subunit ribosomal RNA", at positions 524 to 776 of the family's 1533-position model. The record is from RNAcentral. Lineage: Bacteria; Bacillati; Bacillota; Bacilli; Caryophanales; Bacillaceae.